AUUGAACGCUGGCGGCAUGCCUUACACAUGCAAGUCGAACGGCAGCACGGGUGCUUGCACCUGGUGGCGAGUGGCGAACGGGUGUGUAAUACAUCGGAACAUGUCCUGUAGUGGGGGAUAGCCCGGCGAAAGCCGGAUUAAUACCGCAUACGAUCUACGGAUGAAAGCGGGGGACCUUCGGGCCUCGCGCUAUAGGGUUGGCCGAUGGCUGAUUAGCUAGUUGGUGGGGUAAAGGCCUACCAAGGCGACGAUCAGUAGCUGGUCUGAGAGGACGACCAGCCACACUGGGACUGAGACACGGCCCAGACUCCUACGGGAGGCAGCAGUGGGGAAUUUUGGACAAAGGGCGAAAGCCUGAUCCAGCAAUGCCGCGUGUGUGAAGAAGGCCUUCGGGUUGUAAAGCACUUUUGUCCGGAAAGAAAUCCUUGGCCCUAAUACGGUCGGGGGAUGACGGUACCGGAAGAAUAAGCACCGGCUAACUACGUG
This 486-nucleotide ribosomal RNA is filed under the name uncultured bacterium. Its description in RNAcentral is "partial 16S ribosomal RNA". It matches the Rfam family "Bacterial small subunit ribosomal RNA", at positions 30 to 507 of the family's 1533-position model. The record is from RNAcentral.